This 497-nucleotide ribosomal RNA is filed under the name uncultured bacterium. RNAcentral describes it as "partial 16S ribosomal RNA". It matches the Rfam family "Bacterial small subunit ribosomal RNA", at positions 28 to 507 of the family's 1533-position model. The record is from RNAcentral.
GAUGAACGCUGGCGGCGUGCCUAAUACAUGCAAGUCGAGCGAACAGACGAGGAGCUUGCUCCUCUGACGUUAGCGGCGGACGGGUGAGUAACACGUGGAUAACCUACCUAUAAGACUGGGAUAACUUCGGGAAACCGGAGCUAAUACCGGAUAAUAUAUUGAACCGCAUGGUUCAAUAGUGAAAGACGGUUUUGCUGUCACUUAUAGAUGGAUCCGCGCCGCAUUAGCUAGUUGGUAAGGUAACGGCUUACCAAGGCGACGAUGCGUAGCCGACCUGAGAGGGUGAUCGGCCACACUGUAACUGAGACACGGUCCAGACUCCUACGGGAGGCAGCAGUAGGGAAUCUUCCGCAAUGGGCGAAAGCCUGACGGAGCAACGCCGCGUGAGUGAUGAAGGUCUUCGGAUCGUAAAACUCUGUUAUUAGGGAAGAACAAAUGUGUAAGUAACUAUGCACGUCUUGACGGUACCUAGUCAGAAAGCCACGGCUAACUACGUG